GAUGAACGCUGGCGGCGUGCCUAAUACAUGCAAGUCGAGCGAACAGACGAGGAGCUUGCUCCUCUGACGUUAGCGGCGGACGGGUGAGUAACACGUGGAUAACCUACCUAUAAGACUGGGAUAACUUCGGGAAACCGGAGCUAAUACCGGAUAAUAUAUUGAACCGCAUGGUUCAAUAGUGAAAGACGGUUUUGCUGUCACUUAUAGAUGGAUCCGCGCUGCAUUAGCUAGUUGGUAAGGUAACGGCUUACCAAGGCGACGAUGCGUAGCCGACCUGAGAGGGUGAUCAGCCACACUGGAACUGAGACACGGUCCAGACUCCUACGGGAGGCAGCAGUAGGGAAUCUUCCGCAAUGGGCGAAAGCCUGACGGAGCAACGCCGCGUGAGUGAUGAAGGUCUUCGGAUCGUAAAACUCUGUUAUUAGGGAAGAACAAAUGUGUAAGUAACUAUGCACGUCUUGACGGUACCUAAUCAGAAAGCCACGGCUAACUACGUG
Molecule: ribosomal RNA, 497 nt
Filed under: uncultured bacterium
Lineage: Bacteria
Description: partial 16S ribosomal RNA
Rfam family: Bacterial small subunit ribosomal RNA
Source: RNAcentral